AGUGAACGCUGGCGGUAGGCCUAACACAUGCAAGUCGAACGGCAGCACAGUAAGAGCUUGCUCUUACGGGUGGCGAGUGGCGGACGGGUGAGGAAUACAUCGGAAUCUACUUUUUCGUGGGGGAUAACGUAGGGAAACUUACGCUAAUACCGCAUACGACCUACGGGUGAAAGCAGGGGAUCUUCGGACCUUGCGCGAUUGAAUGAGCCGAUGUCGGAUUAGCUAGUUGGCGGGGUAAAGGCCCACCAAGGCGACGAUCCGUAGCUGGUCUGAGAGGAUGAACAGCCACACUGGAACUGAGACACGGGACAGACUCCUAAGGGAGGCAGCAGUGGGGAAUAUUGGACAAUGGGCGCAAGCCUGAUCCAGCCAUAACGCGUGGGUGAAGAAGGCCUUCGGGUUGUAAAGCCCUUUUGUUGGGAAAGAAAAGCAGCAGGUUAAUACCCCGCUGUUCUGACGGUACCCAAAGAAUAAGCACCGGCUAACUUCGUG
RNAcentral lists this ribosomal RNA (492 nucleotides) under uncultured bacterium. Its description in RNAcentral is "partial 16S ribosomal RNA". It matches the Rfam family "Bacterial small subunit ribosomal RNA", at positions 29 to 507 of the family's 1533-position model. The record is from RNAcentral.